RNAcentral lists this ribosomal RNA (253 nucleotides) under uncultured bacterium. RNAcentral's name for it is "partial 16S ribosomal RNA". It matches the Rfam family "Bacterial small subunit ribosomal RNA", at positions 524 to 776 of the family's 1533-position model. The record is from RNAcentral.
UACGUAGGGGGCUAGCGUUGUCCGGAAUCAUUGGGCGUAAAGAGCGUGUAGGCGGCCCGGUAAGUCCGCUGUGAAAGUCGGGGGCUCAACCCUCGAAUGCCGGUGGAUACUGUCGGGCUAGAAUGCGGAAGAGGCGAGUGGAAUUCCUGGUGUAGCGGUGAAAUGCGCAGAUAUCAGGAGGAACACCAAUUGCGAAGGCAGCUCGCUGGGACGUAACUGACGCUGAGACGCGAAAGCGUGGGGAGCAAACAGG